Molecule: ribosomal RNA, 928 nt
Filed under: uncultured bacterium
Lineage: Bacteria
Description: bacterial SSU rRNA
Rfam family: Bacterial small subunit ribosomal RNA
Source: RNAcentral
GACUAACGCUAACGGUGUGCUUAAUACAUGCAAGUCGAACGAGCAAUGUGAGAGUGGCAACACUCCUGCAAAGCUAGUGGCGAACGGGUGAGUAACGCGUAGGUAAUCUACCUUGAAGAUUAGGAUAACCUUCCGAAAGGAAGGCUAAUACUAAAUAUUUUAUAUUUUUCGUAUGAUUAAUAUAACAAAGGUAGCCGCAAGGCCUCCGCUUUAAGAUGAACCUGCGUCCUAUUAGCUUGUUGGUAAGGUAAUGGCUUACCAAGGCUAUGAUGGGUAGCCGGCCUGAGAGGGUGAUCGGCCACACUGGGACUGAGAUACGGCCCAGACUCCUACGGGAGGCAGCAGUAGGGAAUAUUGCGCAAUGGGCGAAAGCCUGACGCAGCGACACCGUGUGAAGGAUGAAGGUCUUCGGAUCGUAAACUUCUGUCAAUCGGGGACGAAGGUAAUAAGGUUAAUAGCCUUUAUUAUUGACGGUACCCAAUAAGGAAGUCUCGGCUAACUCCGUGCCAGCAGCCGCGGUAAGACGGAGGAGGCAAGCGUUGUCCGGAAUCAUUGGGCGUAAAGAGCGCGUAGGCGGUUUUUCAAGUCGUAUGUGAAAACUUCAGGCUUAACCUGAUGAUUGCAUAUGAAACUGGAUAACUUGAGUACAGCAGAGGAAAGUGGAAUUCCUGGUGUAGCGGUGAAAUGUGCAGAUAUCAGGAAGAACACCGGUAGCGAAGGCGGCUUUCUGGGCUGUUACUGACGCUGAGGCGCGAAAGCUAGGGGAGCAAACAGGAUUAGAUACCCUGGUAGUCCUAGCCCGUAAACGAUGGACACUAGGUGUGGGAAGUUAUCGACGCUUUCUGUGCUGUAGGUAACGCAUUAAGUGUUCCGCCUUGGGGAGUACGGCCGCAAGGCUAAAACUCAAAGGAAUUGACGUGGGCCCGCA